CGGUUAGCUCAGUUGGUUAGAGCGCCUGCCUUACAAGCAGGAGGUCCCGAGUUCGAGUCUCGGACUG
Molecule: transfer RNA, 67 nt
Filed under: marine eukaryotic metagenome
Rfam family: tRNA
About the family: Transfer RNA (tRNA) molecules are approximately 80 nucleotides in length. Their secondary structure includes four short double-helical elements and three loops (D, anti-codon, and T loops). Further hydrogen bonds mediate the characteristic L-shaped molecular structure. tRNAs have two regions of fundamental functional importance: the anti-codon, which is responsible for specific mRNA codon recognition, and the 3' end, to which the tRNAs corresponding amino acid is attached (by aminoacyl-tRNA synthetases). tRNAs cope with the degeneracy of the genetic code in two manners: having more than one tRNA (with a specific anti-codon) for a particular amino acid; and 'wobble' base-pairing, i.e. permitting non-standard base-pairing at the 3rd anti-codon position.
Source: RNAcentral